AUGAAUACUGUACUACAGCUAAAUAGCUUGGGGAAAUGUAAGUAUUUGCUAUUUGGUAAGUAUUCAAUAACUUACAUGUUAAAAAUGUCUUCAUAGCUUCAUUGUAGAAGUUAAGAAGACCGCAACUAUUUUCAUCAAACUAUAACACUAAUAGCCUAUUAUAGGCAAACUUAGUUCAAUAGCCAACUGAAAUGUCUCAAUUUUUGUCAUCUAAUCAUGGCCAAUGUGACACUAGAAAUCUUUUAAUCAAAAUAACUAUAUUUUGGCAAACAAACAAAAGCAAAAAUUAAAACAUGGAAAAUUAGCGUAUUGUGUGAUUAUUAUUUUAAACAAUAUUGCAAUAAUUGUUGCAGUAGUAGUAUUGCAUAUAUUCUACUGAACCACAGUAAUAUAUUUCUGACAAUUUCUUUAAGCUAAACAGAACUUAUAUUUUGACAGGUUAUAUUUUGUAGCCUAUUAUAUGAUAUGAUAGUUUUACUCAAAUGAAACCGUCAAAUGCUCAAGAAGUGACUCUCAGAGCAGUUCUGGAGAUGUUGUUCAUGUAUUUAUGUCCUCAUUUAGUGUGACGACAGAAGCUGAAAUCACUGCGAGUGUCGUGCACUUCAGUAUUUGUGUAGUAAACAAAACAUCUCCGGUUACUGUUGUAACCUUGGCUCCUUGAAAGACGGGAACGAGACAUUGUGUCAGAAGGGGACUCCCUUCCUUCCUAACCUACCUGAAAUCCUAUUGCACAACGUCAGUGCAAGUUGCAACUCUUCGCUGGCCAACGGGCAGGGCCUCCGCCGCUAUAUAAUGUGCUGUCUUGGUGGCAUAAACUCAGAAUCUUCCGACUGAACAGACGCAAUGAGUACGCAAUGUCUCGUUCACGUCUUUCAAGGAACCAAGGUUACAAUAGUAACCAGAGACAUUCCUUAUCAAAGACGGUGCACUCAACAUUGUGUCAGAAGCUAACUUUUUGGGGACUGUAGAAAACAACGCUGUGUGAACAGCGAAGAGAAAACUAACCCUCAGCGGAGCUAACAGUAACUGUACUCGCAAGAGACAUAGAGCAAUUCCCAACCAAUCAUAGACUGCCUACGAAAUGCCCCAAGGGGAUUGGAUAUACAUACCCCCUUGGGAAACCAAUCAUAUCACUCUGAAUCCAGAUUCAGCCGUCUAUUGGAGGAAACAUUGCGCCGUCGCCCUAAGGAUGGGCGUUGCUGGUCACAACUAAAAACGUGUUUAAUAAUGACACCAAUAGGACAUUCAAUUCCCUGGCUAGAAUAAGCCAAAGCAAUUGCAUCAACCACCCAUUGUGAAAGCCGCUGUUUGGAGAUGGGCUGUCGUUUGGUGCCCCCUGCACAGCUGCUUAGACUGAUGAAAGUGAGUGAAGGCAGAAAGUGGCAUUACCACUUGUACCCUGAACAGCGUCGAUAAUGAUUUAGGCACGUAGCCUGAUCAUGGCUUGAGUGUGACGUUGCAAUCACUUUGUCCAAACUGCAUGCAGUCAGCAUUCAUGGAGAGCGCAUGUAAAUCCCCUAUGCUCUUGACCGAGGCCAUGGCGAGCAGCAGUAUAGCUUUAAAUGACAGCUCUCUCAAACCAACAGACUGAAGCAUCUGGAAGGUAGGUUGUGCCAGCGCCCCCAGCACCACAGUCAGAUCCCAGGGUGGCACAGUGGGAGGGCGAGAGGGUCUUAGCCAUCUCGCACCCUUCAAGAACCUGAUCACCAGAUUGUGCUUACCAACUGAACAUCCGUAGACAGUAGCGUGAAAAGCUGAGAUAGUUGCAACAUAAACCAUAAACCAUCCGAUCGCUGUUGCAAGAACCCUAGAAUGUCUGACUUGGGACACUUCUCCAGGUUGUGGCCAUUCAAUUCGCACCAUUUCAUAAAGACUGCCUAUUUGAGAGCAUACAAACAUCUCGUAGAAGGGGCUCGCGCCUCCGUGAUUGUGUCCAUCACCCGGUGGGACAAUGAGCCCGGGUUUAGUGGUUCCUGCACACCAUCCACACAUGAAGUUUCCACCAUUCGGGGUUGGGGUGCCAUAUCGAGCCACCUGCCUGAGACAGGAGAUCCCAUCUCAGCGGGAUCAGCCACAGGGGGAGCUGUUAGUAUCGCUAGCAGAUCAGGAAACCACAGUCUGUUGGGCCAGUAUGGGUCGAUUAACAACACCGACGCUCUCUCCUCUCUGAUUUUGUGUAGCACUUGUGGCAAAAUCUUCAAUGGGGGGGAACGCAUACAGACAGGCAUUCGGCCACGGCAUUGUGAGCCUGUCCCCGCCCAAACGGGAGUGUGACAGAGAGAAGAACAGAGGGCAAUGUGUGUUCUCCUCUGUCGCAAACAGAUCCACCUCCACUGUCCCGGGGUACAGUCUCCAUUCCCAGUGAGGGAUUCCAUUCCUCGAUAACUUCCACCCUGCUGUGCAGACAGCCUGGGACAUGCUGCCAGGAUGGAAAGCAGAUGGCGAUCGGCCCACAACAAGAGGCGUGCUGCCUGCUCAUAAAGGGUCUCAAGUGUACCCCGCCUUGGCGGUUUAUGUACGACACCACUGACGUUAUCCACACUCAAAAAAAUGAAACAUGGUAUUUGUUGGUCCAAAGAAUGUAAUUAUGUUUAAAUUAAUUCAUUUAAUUUCAUCUGUGCAUUAAAAUUAGUGUUGACAGUGUUAGUGUUAAAAUUAGAGUUGUGUUGACAGAAUUAAAAGAAGUAAUUCUUCAAAUUUACACAGCUCAGUUAAUUAAAAUGAAUGCAACAGAGUUGUGUUGCUUCUGCAGUACCGCACAUCGGUCAGUAGGUGGAGUAAAAUCUGCACAUGCGCAGUUGGAAAACACCACAAGAAGGAAGGAAGCACAGGUGAGCACAAGAUCACUCUUCAGCUCAUUUAGAUCGACGCCAUUUUAUGACAAUCAAAGACGGAGAAUUACACUGCAAAACGACAACGUGUUUUCCUCUAUGUGAACAGACAGGUAUCUGUGGAAUUCAGUAGGAUUACAACAAUUCCUUUGGUGUCCAAAUUCAUGGGUCAGCUUGAUCAUUUCUCCUCUCAGCUCCUCAAAAAUUUCAAAAAGAAAGGAGGAGUAGCUGCACAGAAGAUCACAGACAUCCUGUCAGUUUUGGAUCAGGACACUGAACAUGAUGAAGCCCAAAUUUUGAUGAGCAAAACCACUCUCGGAAUCUAUGCCAUCAAAUGUGAAGGGGCAGAUGUUGCAGACCCAUACGAAGAUGUUG
Molecule: long non-coding RNA, 3206 nt
Organism: Labeo rohita (rohu)
Lineage: Eukaryota; Metazoa; Chordata; Actinopteri; Cypriniformes; Cyprinidae
Exons: 3
Source: RefSeq, a predicted model, not a curated record